GCAAGUCGAACGGUAACAGAAAGAAGCUUGCUUCUUUGCUGACGAGUGUCGGACGGGUGAGUAAUACUUAGGAACAUUCCUUUGUGUGGGGGAUAACUAUUGGAAACGAUAGCUAAUACCGCAUAAUGUCUACGGACCAAAGGGGGCUUUUAGCUCCCGCGCAGAGAGUGGCCUAAGCGAGAUUAGCUAGUUGGUGUGGUAAAGGCUCACCAAGGCGACGAUCUCUAGCUGUUCUGAGAGGAAGAGC
This 247-nucleotide ribosomal RNA is filed under the name uncultured bacterium. RNAcentral describes it as "partial 16S ribosomal RNA". It matches the Rfam family "Bacterial small subunit ribosomal RNA", at positions 57 to 305 of the family's 1533-position model. The record is from RNAcentral.